CGCGUGAAGGAUGAAGGUCCUCUGGAUUGUAAACUUCUUUUAUCUGGGACGAAAACGGGAUUUUUAUCUCAAUUGACGGUACCAGAGGAAUAAGCACCGGCUAACUCCGUGCCAGCAGCCGCGGUAAUACGGAGGGUGCGAGCGUUAUCCGGAUUUACUGGGUUUAAAGGGUGCGUAGGUGGGCUUAUAAGUCAGUGGUGAAAUCUCCGAGCUUAACUUGGAAACUGCCGUUGAUACUAUAGGUCUUGAAUUAUCUGGAGGUAAGCGGAAUAUGUCAUGUAGCGGUGAAAUGCUUAGAUAUGACAUAGAACACCAAUUGCGAAGGCAGCUUACUACAUAUAAAUUGACGCUGAGGCACGAAAGCGUGGGGAUCAAACAGGAUUAGAUACCCUGGUAGUCCACGCCCUAAACUAUGGAUACUCGACAUACGCGAUAUACAGUGUGUGUCUGAGCGAAAGCAUUAAGUAUCCCACCUGGGAAGUACGACCGCAAGGUUGAAACUC
Molecule: ribosomal RNA, 503 nt
Filed under: uncultured bacterium
Lineage: Bacteria
Description: bacterial SSU rRNA
Rfam family: Bacterial small subunit ribosomal RNA
Source: RNAcentral